This 30-nucleotide non-coding RNA is filed under the name Rattus norvegicus (Norway rat). Lineage: Eukaryota; Metazoa; Chordata; Mammalia; Rodentia; Muridae. The record is from RNAcentral.
UUCAGAAGCUUCAGUCUGUGGCUGCCUGGU